Molecule: small RNA, 125 nt
Filed under: Marmota monax (woodchuck)
Lineage: Eukaryota; Metazoa; Chordata; Mammalia; Rodentia; Sciuridae
Source: RNAcentral
GCUGAAUGUAGUGGUGCACACCUGUAAUCCCAGUAGCUUGGGAGGCUGAGGCAGGAGGAUCACAAGUUCAAAGCCAGUCUCAGCAAAAGUGAGGGGCUAAGCAAUUUAGUGAGACCCUGUCUCAA